CUUGCUUUUAAUCAUUUUAACACCUUCGGACUUUCCGAAGUGUACCGUCCUCGCACUUUGGUCAAUUUGACUAAAGUUCGACAUUUUUAUUUUCCGAAUUUUCGGUAUAUUACAUUCUCCACCCCUUACAAUAAUUUCGUCCGCAAAAUUACGCAUACCUUAACUCGUCGACUCAAAUAAGUGCGGAUACUCUCUCCGCAUUGACUCCUCGAGUUCCCA
This 219-nucleotide long non-coding RNA is filed under the name Ananas comosus (pineapple). Its description in RNAcentral is "long non-coding RNA (ACOM_LNC042167)". Lineage: Eukaryota; Viridiplantae; Streptophyta; Magnoliopsida; Poales; Bromeliaceae. The record is from RNAcentral.